Long non-coding RNA from Mercenaria mercenaria, 1710 nucleotides. RefSeq lists it as uncharacterized. The record is from RefSeq and is a predicted model, not a curated record. The transcript has 4 exons. NCBI's taxonomy places the organism in Eukaryota, Metazoa, Mollusca, Bivalvia, Venerida, Veneridae.
GUGUAGCGUGAUUAUCACACGGUCGUGACCAGGUCCACGGUUUAUAUAUGUUUUUCAAAACCUGCCCAAAUGCUUAUUCUUUGUUCAAUAUUUGCAAAAUUUUGCAUAUCAAAUUCUCAAAGAUAGCUUUUGUAAAUUACAUAAUUUGAUUUUGAUUUUAUAUUCCUGAAAUUUAAAUAUAUUGAUUUGAAUAUGCCCAAUUUGACGUAUUUUACCGGCUUUUAUGGUGCUUCAGAAAAAACUUGCAGAACACAGUAACUUAUCUUUUUCACGAAUCAGAUUGUCUUAAAACUUGCUAGAGGUGUUAAAUAUUGUGCAUGGGACUGUUGUUUGUGAAUAGCUACUCAAAAUAAUAAGAUUUACACGCUCUGAAAAUCACCUUUUUGUCUAAAAAUUUACGAAAAACAUGGCCGCGGUGCGCAAAUAAUGAGUUGGUUAUUUCAAAAAUGUCCUAUUAUUCUUCAGUAAAACUUCUUGUUAAUUUAAGACUCUAAUAACUUGCUUGACAUACCCAUAGGCAAAUAUCUGUUAUCGGUGUAAUUACACCUUUGGAGAAAAGCGUGAUUCGCACGUUUUAAUUUCAUCAUUCGCCGCCUGAAGAGACAAGAUGGUGGAGCUUGCGAAAUCGAAAAUUGGUACUUGAAAGUCAAUGGUUGAUCAUGAUGACCAUCUUUAAUUUAAUGGGGAAAGAUUAACCAAUAUUUGCAGCUGGAGAGGCUAUCACCACAGUUCAAUGACUUAGUUAAGACAAUGAAAUAGAAGAACUUCAUGCUAACACUUGCAUCAGUGGAAGUACUUCUUAUUGGAUAGAGAACUUUACAAGGUCAGCCAUCAGCUUUUGAAGUUGCUUUCUUGGCACAUCAUGCUGUCCAGUGGAGUUCAUACCAUAUGCCAGGCCUUUAUACAUGGUCAAAGAAGAUGAAUUUGUUAUUCAAUUUGUGAAAUUUGAUUUAAGGAGGACUUUCAUAUAUGAUGAUUAUAUUCAGCAGAUUAUCUUCAAGUGUGCACUUCAUAGAAUCACAGUUUCUAGGAGGUUUUCAGUUUAAAGUCAGAUUAAUUGAAAAAUAAGUAAACCUAUCAUACUCACCAUGGCAUCGGCAUUGGCAUUACACCAGUUUUAAGUUUUUCUUACCAGUCCAUAUUUUAAAAGGACCUUUUGAAAGUAUUGAAACUUACAACAGUAAUUUAUCAUCAUUAUACCAUGUUUUAGGCAAAAGUACAUAACUCCAUCAAGGAUUUGACUGAACUAUGGCCCUUUGAAACUUUUGUCACUUGUUUAUAAUAAUAGUCUCUAUAGGCAAGAGUUAAUAACACUAUAGGGUAAUUUGGUUGAAUUAUGUCCCUUUUGGACUUUGAAAUUGGUUCAGUUUUUGUACAAGUCCACAUUUUGACAUAUAGCUUUGAAUCUUUCAACACCAAGUCUUACCAUUACAAUAAUAUAACUUAAAAUAGUUGUUCAACAUCAUCACCCACAUCAUAUGACACAAGAUGCAUAACUCUUGCACCAAAAUUUAAUAAAUUAUGCCCUUUUUUGCUUAAAAUAUACUUGUAUAGUGUUUUGAUACACUUUAUCUUUAUCUCUCAUAUUACAUAAUAUUUUAAAACAGACUUAGUUAUUAUGCAAUAUCUUCAUCAGCCAUUGGAGCCAUUAGUUGGUGUUUAGAUCCUAUAAUUGUAAAACAUUAAAUAAAUGUUGAAAGUUUCAUAAAA